Molecule: ribosomal RNA, 300 nt
Filed under: uncultured bacterium
Lineage: Bacteria
Description: bacterial SSU rRNA
Rfam family: Bacterial small subunit ribosomal RNA
Source: RNAcentral
AUUGAACGCUGGCGGCAUGCCUUACACAUGCAAGUCGAACGGCAGCACGGGAGCAAUCCUGGUGGCGAGUGGCGAACGGGUGAGUAAUACAUCGGAACGUGCCCAAUCGUGGGGGAUAAACGCAGCGAAAGCUGUGCUAAUACCGCAUACGAUCUACGGAUGAAAGCAGGGGACCGCAAGGCCUUGCGCGAAUGGGAGCGGCCGAUGGCAGAGUUUAGGAGUUGGGUGACGGUAAAGGCUCACCAAGCCUUCGAUCUGUAGCUGGUCUGAGAGGACGACCAGCCACACUGGGACUGAGAC